UGCCGCGUGACAGCCGCACUCCGCAGUCGGCACUCUAGCUAGUAGUUGAAGCGGAGACGCAACGAGGAAAAUCCGUACGGCUACAGAGCAGCGGCAGGAGUGGGGGGCGGGCGCGGGAGAGAUGAUAAGGAUGGCGGCGGCGUCUCCGCCGCCCGCGUCCGCCGUGCCGGUGCGCGGGGGCGGCGGCGCGGCGGCCUCGUCGUCCGCGCGCCUCUUCGCGGGGUCCCGGAGUAGCGUCGCGGCGUGGAUUGGGAGGGGGAGGAGGAGGCGGUGCGCCAUCUCGUGCUCCUCGUCGCAGGACGGAGAUGGGCCGCGCCCCGCCGCGGCGCCUUCCGACGGGUCGAUACAGCUCUACUCCCAGAUCGAGAGGGUGAUCACGGAGGCGGCGAGGCAGUCCGGCGAGGGCUGGGGCUCGACCGGAGAUUGGACCGAAGUCGAGGGAGCAUGGGUGCUGAGACCCAAGUCCUCGGAGCCCUCGUUUGUUGUCCACUUCGUUGGAGGGAUAUUUGUCGGAGCCGCGCCCCAGAUCACAUACCGUUUCUUCCUCGAGCGGCUCGCGGACAGGGGAGCUUUGGUGAUUGCCACGCCGUAUGCGAGUGGCUUCGAUCAUUUCUUCAUUGCUGAUGAAGUUCAGUUUAAGUUUGACAGGUGCUUGAGAAACUUGGACGAGCCUGUAAAUGAUCUUCCCACUUUUGGUGUUGGACAUUCCUUGGGAUCUGUUAUCCACAUGCUGAUUGGAUCAAGAUAUGCUGUGCAGCGAAGUGGAAAUGUAUUGAUGUCAUUUAACAACAAGGAGGCAAGCUCUGCCAUCCCACUAUUUUCACCUGUAAUUGUUCCCAUGGCACAGAGUUUUGGCCCAAUUUUGUCCCAGCUGACAUCAUAUCCAACAGUCCGUUUUGGGGCAGAAGCAGCCAUUAAGCAGCUUGAGAAUUUAAGCCCUCCUGUUGUUAAGCAACUUCUACCUUUACUUCAACAACUUCCUCCAUUGUAUAUGGACUUAGUAAAAGGGCGGGAGGACUUCAUUCCAAAACCAGAAGAGACACGUCGCCUGAUAAAAUCCUACUACGGAAUUUCUCGGAACCUCUUAAUAAAGUUCAAAGAUGAUCAAAUUGAUGAAACCUCUAUCCUUGCACAAGUACUAAGCUCUGAAGCAGCCAUUAGCUCGUUGCUUGAUAUGUCGAUUCGAUCACUUCCUGGGGAUCAUGGUCUGCCAUUGCAGCAGGUGCUUCCUGAUGUUCCACCAGCAAUGGCUGAUGCAGUGAACCGCGGAGGUGAACUUCUGGCAAAUCUGACUGCAGGCACACCGUGGGAGGCUGUUGCUAAGGAGGUUGGUACCACUUUGGGUACUGACUCAGGCAUUCUACGGGCACAGAUCUCAAAGGAUGUUGAGACACUUGUUGAUGUAAUUGCUUCAUGGAUAUCUUCAAAUUCUGGUCCAAGACUACUUCGUCCAUGAUCACCUAUUUUGCGUACAGAAAUGUCAAUAACACUGAAGAGCAUCAAGUUUUUAUUGAUAAACUAAAUAAGGUGAUAGAUUCUUGCUAUGGUAAAACUGCUCACUUGUACAAAGGGGUCCUGGCAAUUCAAUAAGGAUCUGAUUGGAACUAGGAACAGUCCUUCAAUGGCCGGAUGACACGGGUAGAAGGUGGGUCGAUGGUAUGGCAAGAGUCAGCAACUGCUGAGGCCAACUCGAACUGACGAGGCGGUUGCUUGGUGUCUGAACGCCUAGCCUCACAGCAUGCAACCUAAUCACGGUGAUUGGCUACUGUACCUUAGGAGUUAGGCUGAUCUUUGAAACACAAUGUUUGCUUCUAUCAUGUUUUUUUUUUCAAAUGAUCCUUUUGUAGCAAUGGAAAGUGUAUGCUUCUGUACUGAAGGUACACUGGUUGAGUUGCAUAUUGUUGUCCGUCUUAUAUUUUUUUAGCACGCGUGAUCUGUUAGCUGAUGAUCUGAGACAUUGGUAAUAGAGCAUUAUGCUAUCUCAGCGGGGAAAGGAAGGGUGCAUGGCUCUGGCAGUAGGAGCUUUGGUGGGCAAGUCAUUUUAACCCAUUGGCAAAGGCAAGAUUUCUUCCCUCAGAUUAUUUUUUCUGUAAUCAAUAAUGGAUUAUUGUUAAAUACUUAAAAGGUGCUUACAUAAAGUUA
This is an RNA transcript of Panicum hallii, 2142 nucleotides long. RefSeq lists it as uncharacterized. The record is from RefSeq and is a predicted model, not a curated record. The transcript is spliced from 11 exons. NCBI's taxonomy places the organism in Eukaryota, Viridiplantae, Streptophyta, Magnoliopsida, Poales, Poaceae.